AGGGUGGGACCCGCGGCCCCCCGAGGUGCUCCCAUCCCUGAUCCGGUCAAGUAAUAAUGGAGCCUUCUCCUUCAUCUCCUCCUCCAUUUACUGUCGCUGUCGCGAUUCAUUUCGGAUGUGUCUUCUACUUGUGCUCUGUUCUUUUCUUCCCCUGAAGCGUUUCUUUCGCUGUCCAUUUGAUGAUUAAGGAGGAGUCAUCCCCAACGCUUACGGCAUCUCAAUUGGAUUAACAACACUCAAAUCUUCAAAGGAUAAAACCGUGUUGAAUCCACGCCGUCGCAGAUAAUUCUUGGUGGCUCAGCUCGCUCGGUGACGAUGAAUGAUAGGCCUUCCUCAUUCCACACGUCGGACCAAGCUUGAACCACCCCAGACGGUCAAAUACAUCUCGAGGCAAUGGCCCUCACGCAAUGGCAAACCACUACUGUUACGGCAUCCAACACAUCAUGCGCAUGAAUCCUCCUUGCUUGUUAGGUUUGGCACCCAACUGUUCUCCUCCCUCCCUGUUCCCUCCUCCAUUGGCCUGACCAUGUGGGAAGCUCAACAACAAGUUGUGGACACACCGCACAGCAUGGCAUUGCUUCGGGAUUUGUUCUUCCUUGCAGUAAAAGCAUCUAAAACAUGCAACCAUCAAGCGACCACGACAAUUUCUUCCUCCUCUGUGCACACAAACGGGAGCUUCACGGUGAUCAUGCAUCUUGCGCUUUCUCUCUCCUUUGAUAGCUUGGUGAUGAGGUUUUCAGCUACGCUCAUCCAAUCUAGAAUUGAUGUCUUCCAUCUAAGAAAAAGGCGAAGAUGGUAGGGAACAAAACAGACUUGCCUUUUCUAAACCAUUAAUGUGUGUUUGUGCGUGUGUGUGUGUGUGUGUGUGUGUGUGUGUGAGAGAGAGAGAGAGAGAGAGAGAGAGAGGUCUUAAACCUCUCUCAGUAUGACAGCACAGUAGCGAGUUAUUGGGUGGGUAUUCUUGUGACGUUUGUCAUACAUAAUCCUUGAGGCCAUGCCUCUGUUUGGACCAAUACAUGAAUUAUCUGCAUUCUCAUCUGCAAUCAUGGAAGGGAAUAGUAGCUCAACUAUUAGUGAGCAAUGGCACCAGUGAGAGUUGGAUCCAGUUACAUACGAUGCAUUCCGACAGUCCUUGGCCUUCUCUUGUGGUUGUGGUUUCACUUUCAUGUGUCCCAAUGAAUGGGAGCCUUGCAUUUCCAUGAAGCAGAAACAUCCAUUCCUAAAACCUUUGGACUCAAACUCAAGACAGGACGUGAAGUCUUCGCCUGCUUCUUCUCCGGUAAAUUCAUCGUCCUACAACAGAACCAGUCUCGGCAACACUACCAUUGGCUACAAUUACAGACGGCUCUUUUUGUCUGAACACCAAGGAAAAUGGAGAGGAUAGUUUGUCGCAGAUUUAUGAUCGCCAUGGUCCACAGGCAUGCCGAUGCAGCUCCUCCGUAGUAGAAAGGCAUGAGGAAGGCAACUGCGACCUUAAUGAAAGCUGCAACUUGUAGGUCAACAAGCAAAGGCCACGAGGUCCGGACCAUUGAACGAGAUGAAGGAGAGGUCGUACAGCAGCCGAAGCUUAUUAUGAUGACACCGAGCUACUGUCUUCUCAACUCAGCAGUCGAGGUGAUCAUUGCUUGAAAUCAAUGGAUCUUUACAGGUCCAUGUUUAGAAGGGAAUAACGAGCGACCAAUCAAGAAGAAGACGUGAUCCACCUGAUAAUUGAGCUGAAUCCGAUCUCCGAUCGGCUCAACCUAACAGGAUAGUUGGAUCAGAUUUCUUGAUAAGCAAGUUGAUUAGCUUUGCACAACCACGUACGAUAAAUCUAAGAUCAAAGUCUCUGCUCUUCCUGAAAACGAGGAUAUAUUUGGGGUCCUUUCGCUCCCUUUUCUGCUCACUGUAGCAAAAGCCUUGCUGAUGGCAUCGUUGUGAUCUCAUAUGCCAUAUGCAAUGUCACUCAUCAAUAGGAUGACGGCCACAACUACCGCAUGAUAAUAAGAGGAACAGAAGAAGAUGCCGGAGGGUUUGAGUGGGCAAGCACUUGUUCCUUUUCCAGGACGCGCAGCUGCCCUCUCUCUGGGUUUGGUCUCUCCAUUCUCAUCAGCUGCAGACGUCCACAUCCAACUAAACUGUGGGUGGAAGCCUGCUCCGAGCCAUGGACCAAGCAAGGGAUGUCGAUCACCCAAAAAGGAGAGAGAAAAAGAGGCCGGGGGGGGAGGGGUAAGGGAAAGAGGCUUUCAUGAGGUCGCGUGGUCUUUAUCCCAAACCCUUAGCUCUAUAUAUUUUUGAUCCUCUUCCCCAUCACCUAUUGUUCAGACCUUCCCCUUCUCCUUUUCUCUCAGGCUGAGUGAAGCCAUGUCUAAACAGGAAGCUUUUCCUUUGAGGGGAAUGUUGUCUGGUUCGGGACAACUGUGGAAGAGACCUCGGACCAGGCUUCAUUCCCCCCAAUCGCAGCUUCCAUCUCCACCAACUCAGUGGUAAUGUGUAUUCCUAUCUCAGAUCUGGUUUUGAGUCCCUCUUUGCUUCUUGGUCAGGUUGUGAUUUACUUCUCCCUCUCUCUCUCUCUCUCUCUCUCUCUCUCUCUCUCUCUCACACACACACACACACACACACACAAACACACGAGGAUUUAC
This is a long non-coding RNA of Musa acuminata AAA Group (dessert banana), 2621 nucleotides long. RefSeq lists it as uncharacterized. The transcript has 2 exons. The record is from RefSeq and is a predicted model, not a curated record. NCBI's taxonomy places the organism in Eukaryota, Viridiplantae, Streptophyta, Magnoliopsida, Zingiberales, Musaceae.